This is a long non-coding RNA of Malaclemys terrapin pileata, 569 nucleotides long. RefSeq lists it as uncharacterized. The record is from RefSeq and is a predicted model, not a curated record. Lineage: Eukaryota; Metazoa; Chordata; Testudines; Emydidae. The transcript is spliced from 5 exons.
GCCAAUAUGUCAUGUGAAUUUUUCUACUGGUUUCAGAAAAUAUGGAUUGCAAGAAAAAGAGCAGAUACAUUUUCCCUCCAAACGGUAAACGAUGGAUUUGAAUAAGCUGUGUAGGCUCUAUCCAAAGAAGCACUUGAAAAUUUGAAUGCUCUUGGAAAGGAAAUACUGCUCCAACAGAAUUAGUAUGAAUUCAAAGACCACAGAUCAUCGAGACAACAGGCAAUCUUCAAAAUGAAACAAUCCAGAUACACUGCAAGAAAUGGAGGAGUUGAGUAUCAUACACUUCAUAGAGACUUGAAACAUUCCUGCAGAUUUCAACAUGAUGUAUAUUACCGGAGCUAAAAUGCCAUUCACUGAAAGCUGAGACACUUCUCAGAUUUUCCAACACCAAAUGGGAAUGUGGACUUCAGAAACAUAUUAUCGUAAAAGAAGGAUGAAGUCAAAAUAUCGUCUGUAUCCUCAUCUGGUGUAAUUUGGCAUGACUCCAUUGAUUUCUGAUCCCUUAUCUUUAAUGUCCUUCUCCUUUUUUAAUGAAAUACAAUUCUAAAUCAAGAAACUAACUGUCACGA